GACGAACGCUGGCGGCGUGCCUAAUACAUGCAAGUUGAGCGCUGAAGGUUGGUACUUGUACCAACUGGAUGAGCAGCGAACGGGUGAGUAACGCGUGGGGAAUCUGCCUUUGAGCGGGGGACAACAUUUGGAAACGAAUGCUAAUACCGCAUAAAAACUUUAAACACAAGUUUUAGGUUUAAAUGAUGCAUUGCCAUCACGAAAAGAUCAUCCCGAGUUUGAUUAGUUAGUUGGUGAGGUAAAGGCUCACCAAGGCGAAGAUACAUAGCCGACCUGGGAGGGUGAACGGCCACAUUGGGACUGAGAAACGGCCCAAACUCCUAAGGGAGGCAGCAGUAGGGAAUCUUCGGAAAUGGACGAAAGUCUGACCGAGCAACGCCGCGUGAGUGAAGAAGGGUUUCGGAUCGUAAAACUCUGUUGGUAGAGAAGAAAGUUGGUGAGAGUGGAACGCUCAUCAAGUGACGGUAACUACCCAGAAAGGGACGGCUAACUACGUG
This 497-nucleotide ribosomal RNA is filed under the name uncultured bacterium. Its description in RNAcentral is "partial 16S ribosomal RNA". It matches the Rfam family "Bacterial small subunit ribosomal RNA", at positions 28 to 507 of the family's 1533-position model. The record is from RNAcentral.